GGGAGGAAGGGCUGAUGGUUAAUAAGCGAAGGGAUUGACGUUACCGACAGAAUAAGCACCGGCUAACUCUGUGCCAGCAGCCGCGGUAAUACAGAGGGUGCAAGCGUUAAUCGGAAUUACUGGGCGUAAAGCGCGCGUAGGUGGUUUGUUAAGUUGGAUGUGAAAUCCCCGGGCUCAACCUGGGAACUGCAUCCGAAACUGGCAAGCUAGAGUCUGGUAGAGGGUGGUGGAAUUUCCUGUGUAGCGGUGAAAUGCGUAGAUAUCUGAAGGAACACCGGUGGCGAAGGCGACCCCCUGGACUGAUACUGACACUGAGGUGCGAAAGCGUGGGGGAGCAAAACAGGAUUAGAUACCCUGGUAGUCCACGCCGUAAAACGAUGUCAACUAGCAGGUUGGGAGCCUUGAGGCUCUGGCUUCCCGGAGCUAAACGCAUUAAAGUCUGACCGCCU
This 449-nucleotide ribosomal RNA is filed under the name uncultured bacterium. Its description in RNAcentral is "bacterial SSU rRNA". It matches the Rfam family "Bacterial small subunit ribosomal RNA", at positions 442 to 874 of the family's 1533-position model. The record is from RNAcentral.